GAUGAAGAACGCAGCGAAAUGCGAUAAGUAGUGUGAAUUGCAGAAUUCAGUGAAUCAUCGAAUCUUUGAACGCCCAUUGCGACCCUUGGUAUUCCAUGGGGCAUGCCUGUUCGAGCGUCAUUUGUACCUUCAAGCUCUGCUUGGUGUUGGGUGUUUGUCUCGCCUCUGCGUGUAGACUCGCCUCAAAAUAAUUGGCAGCCGGCGUAUUGAUUUCGGAGCGCAGUACAUCUCGCGCUUUGCACUCAUAACGACGACGUCCAAAAGUACAUUUUUACACUCUUGACCUCGGAUCAGGUAGGGAUACCCGCUGAACUUAAGCAUAUCAAUAAGCGGAGGA
Molecule: unclassified non-coding RNA, 337 nt
Filed under: soil metagenome
Description: partial contains 5.8S ribosomal RNA, internal transcribed spacer 2, and large subunit ribosomal RNA
Rfam family: 5.8S ribosomal RNA (bases 1-120)
Source: RNAcentral